GAUGAACGCUGGCGGCGUGCCUAACACAUGCAAGUCGAACGAAGCACCUUACCUGAUUCUUCGGAUGAAGGUCUGGUGACUGAGUGGCGGACGGGUGAGUAACGCGUGGGUAACCUGCCCUGUACAGGGGGAUAACAGUUGGAAACGGCUGCUAAUACCGCAUAAGCGCACGAGAGGACAUCCUCUUGUGUGAAAAACUCCGGUGGUACAGGAUGGGCCCGCGUCUGAUUAGCUGGUUGGCAGGGUAACGGCCUACCAAGGCGACGAUCAGUAGCCGGUCUGAGAGGAUGAACGGCCACAUUGGAACUGAGACACGGUCCCAACUCCUACGGGAGGCAGCAGUGGGGAAUAUUGCACAAUGGGGGAAACCCUGAUGCAGCAACGCCGCGUGAGUGAAGAAGUAUUUCGGUAUGUAAAGCUCUAUCAGCAGGGAAGAUAAUGACUGGUACCUGACUAAGAAGCUCCGUGCUAUAUACCGUGCCAGCAGCCGCUGGUUAAUACGUAUGGAGCAAGCGUUAUCCGGAUUUACU
RNAcentral lists this ribosomal RNA (530 nucleotides) under uncultured Lachnospiraceae bacterium. RNAcentral describes it as "bacterial SSU rRNA". It matches the Rfam family "Bacterial small subunit ribosomal RNA", at positions 28 to 555 of the family's 1533-position model. The record is from RNAcentral. Lineage: Bacteria; Bacillati; Bacillota; Clostridia; Lachnospirales; Lachnospiraceae.